Molecule: ribosomal RNA, 522 nt
Filed under: uncultured bacterium
Lineage: Bacteria
Description: bacterial SSU rRNA
Rfam family: Bacterial small subunit ribosomal RNA
Source: RNAcentral
AAUAGAUACCCAGGUAGUCCACGCCGUAAACGAUGAGUGCUAAGUGUUAGAGGGUUUCCGCCCUUUAGUGCUGCAGCUAACGCAUUAAGCACUCCGCCUGGGGAGUACGGUCGCAAGACUGAAACUCAAAGGAAUUGACGGGGGCCCGCACAAGCGGUGGAGCAUGUGGUUUAAUUCGAAGCAACGCGAAGAACCUUACCAGGUCUUGACAUCCUCUGACAACUCUAGAGAUAGAGCGUUCCCCUUCGGGGGACAGAGUGACAGGUGGUGCAUGGUUGUCGUCAGCUCGUGUCGUGAGAUGUUGGGUUAAGUCCCGCAACGAGCGCAACCCUUGAUCUUAGUUGCCAGCAUUUAGUUGGGCACUCUAAGGUGACUGCCGGUGACAAACCGGAGGAAGGUGGGGAUGACGUCAAGUCAUCAUGCCCCUUAUGUUCUGGGCUGCACACGUGCUACAAUGGCCGGUACAAAGGGCUGCGAAGCCGCGAGGUUGAGCCAAUCCCAUAAAGCCGGUCUAAGUUCGGA